AUUUCCUCUGAUGGUGAGAACUGUGAACUCUCUCUUAUGCUCUAAUCAAUUUAAUCCCUUGCCAGGAAAUAUAUAAUCAAAUCAAUACUUACAAUCAAAAUCUUAAGCUAAGUUGGGUUUUUUAAUCUUUUACAGUUUUUUUGUUCUACAUAGGUAAUACAGCACAAAGUGCAACAUCGUUGCAACAUGUGAUGGAGUUUUGAAGCGAAGAAUUCUCAAGCCUAAGUGUUUGCGGAAAUGCCUAGCAUAAAAGAGUUGUUCAAGUCCUUCUACUAAACAUGGACUUAGAUGACUUCUUAAAGGACUUCAGAUCAGAACAGGCUAGGAAGUUAAUGAAAGAUAUCUUGGUUGUAAAGAGACAUCGGAGGAUUCGUACUCCAGAGGAAUGACAUCUUGAUUGGAAAAGAAAAAAAAUGUCUCAUGUUUUUAAGACUACUACUCACAAAACAUUGUUACAGCAGAGUGAUAGUACCGGUCAAGCAACAACGAUAAGUUACAAUUCCAGCUUUAUGCUUGAAAAUGAAGAAGAAUGAAAUUUGGUCGCUACGGCACGGAAAAAAGUCUGAAGUGUCGAUUAUUGUUGAUCCCAGUUGGUUUAUCUGAGCAAAACAAAGUUAGAAGCUUUGUAUAUGAAAAACAAAUCCUGAACCAUAACAACCCAACAACAAUUAACACGCUUUAAAUGAAGAUGAAUUUCGCGCCGCGGAUACAAAGUCAACGUUUAGAUUAUGUUGUUGAUCCCGGAGUGUUUUCGUUUUUCUGUUGGACGAUCAACGGUCAAGUCCAAGACAAACAACAAGUCCUUCCUGGUGAAGACAUAUUUUAUACAGAUAAUGCAAGAAAGAUUGUCCAUUGAGCUUCAGGUUAGCUACUGUUCGAAGUGCGUAUGUUCUUCCUUUUCUUUUCUUUUGUAACCGUGUACAGGUAGUUUUAUGUGUACGACAAUCAUGUGCGACACAGAAAAACACCUUAAGUAGAAACGUCGGAAGUUAGAUGGUUGAUAAAAAGAGGGACUGGUGGAACAAGAAAAGAAGUUCAGUUUUAUGUGUCUUUUGUUUAUGAUGGUGUGCAGUUCUCUUUAUGAUUGUGUAUAUGCACAAGGAGGGUGAGCCACUGAUCCUGAUCCUUACAUUGAUAAACUUACUGAAGUAUAAUUAUAUUAGAAAAAAACAAGAAGUUGUGCUCCAGAAUGAACUGUU
Molecule: long non-coding RNA, 1199 nt
Organism: Papaver somniferum (opium poppy)
Lineage: Eukaryota; Viridiplantae; Streptophyta; Magnoliopsida; Ranunculales; Papaveraceae
Exons: 8
Source: RefSeq, a predicted model, not a curated record